AAACUCUUCUGAACCCUCUCCAGCUUAAUAAUAUCAAGGUCAAUAAUAUCAAAGUGAAUAGUCAAUGUAUUUUGUUAGGCUAAUGGAGACCAUAUCUAGAGGACAUAGUUGUAAGGUAAGAGGGGAAACAUUUAAAAGUGAUCUAAGGGCAGCUGUUUCACCCAGAGGGUGGUGUGCCUAUGGAAUGAGCGGGCAGGAUGUCCAGACUGGACACAGUAUUCCGGGAGAGGUCUCACCAAUGUCCUGUACAACCUCAACAUGACGUCCCAAUUCCGAUACUCAGUGGUCUGACCAUUGAAGACAAGUGUGUUAAACACCUUCUUAAUCACAUUAUCUAUAUGAGAUGCAACUUUUAAAGAAUUAUACCUGACGGCCGAGGUCUCUGUUCUGCAACACUGCCAAAGGCCCUACGUUUAAUUGUAUAAGUCCUACUAUUGUUGAUUUACCAAAUCCAAUACCUCACAUUAAUCCAAACUAAACUCCAUCUGCCACGCCUCGGCCAGUGAGUGAGAUUACCACCUCCUCACCUUCUCCGUUUAAUUUUAAAAUGCCCAUCCCUCUCCAGGAGGCCUGCACACUCCGGCCUUGAUUUUCACAAAGACCCUGAGCUUGGUUUGCCUUGUGUGGUUAGAGGGAGGAGGGACAGAUUGCAGACACAGUCAGUGGGGAGGAGAGGCUGGACAGUAAUCAACGGCCUGGUUUCAUUUCAUGGUUUUAGGCAGAGGGCAGACACACGUAAGAGUUGGGUUAUACUGAUCGGUGUUUUGGGACCAGAAAUUAUGGUCUUUCUCCGUGUCUGGUGUUCAGUAAUAAAUAUCUAUUUGAGACCCUUCAUUGGGCAGAUUUUGAAGAGGCCUAAGGGGCAACUUUUCACACAGAGGGUGGUGUGUGUGUGGAAUGAGCUGCCAGAGGAAGUGGUGGAGGCUGGUACAACGCCAUCAUGUAAAAGGCAUCUGGAUGCUGACAGACCUGCCGAGCAUUUCCAGCAAUUUCUGUAUUUGUUGAAACAAAACAUUCAUUUUAACACAGGUAUCUGUGUUAGCUGUCUGGAUACAGAAUUGGCUGGCCAGCAGAAGACAGCGAGUGGUAGUGGAAGGAAAAUAUUCUGCCUGGAAGUCUGUGGGACAUAUAAACAUAUCUUCAAAGCGACCGAGACCAUUUCCUGCUCAGGGUAUGGCUCUGUGUAUGACAGCAGCAAUGAUGCACCGACAUGGAACAGGGAAUGUGAUGGAGACAUAGUUUGGACAAUGUACAAGGAGACCUCACAUGGUCCAGUUUGGGAGAGAAUGACAUUAUUGUGUGAUUCAGCUCAGAGAGGGAGAAAAUGUCACCUGCCAGAGAAGAAACGGCCUCUUGCACUCUCUCCUUCAUUAUUCCUCAUCACAGUAACGUGUGCGAGCUAAAACAAAACUCUACUGUCAUCGUUACCAAUCUUAUUUUUAUAGAAUCCCAGCAGUGUGGAAACAAGCCCUUCGGCCCAACAAGUCCAUACUAACCCUCCAAUCAGUAACCUUCCCAUGCCCUUACAGUUACCACUGACUAGUGCACCUAAAGUAGAAAUCGCUGAACACUAUGGACUAUUUGACCAAUCCACUUGAAUUAUACAGCUUUGGGCUGUGGGAGGAAAUGGGAGCACCCAUCAGAAGCUCACACAGACAAGGGGAGAAGAUGCAAACUCCACGCAGAUAGUCUCCCGAGGCUGGAAUUGAACACAUGUCCCUGAUGCUGUGAUGGAACAGUGCGAACUACUGAGCCACUGUGCUAACCUGGGACAUCCUGCCAGCCUAAUGCAAAGGGAAUUCCGCCAAAUCCAACUCUCCCAGGAUAAAAUCCCAUUGCUAGCAGCUGUGUGAGUACAAUAUCUUCAGAAGCAGAGUAACAUUUUGGACAAUCUCUCAAUUUUUCCUUUUGUCAUUAGUUACACUAAUAUUUGGACAAGGUUCUUUCAAUGUGAAAUUGCAGAGAUUGUGUGUGUGUGUGUGUGUGUGUGUGUGUGUGUGUGUGUGUCAGUGUUUUUAGAAAGGGAAAUAUUGAUUAUGUAUUUGCAAUACCCAAACAGUUUGCCAUCCAUUUUUCCAUCAUAGUUGGAGUAACAUUGCUCUGGAUCAUAAACGUGCUAUUUCAGCAGAUUACAGAAACCAGCCUGACUUGUUCCUAAAACUGACCCUGACCCAGUCUGAGACCGAUAUCAUCGGCCACAUCACCAACCUGGUUACAUUUAACAUUUGUUGUGAGCAGUGGAGGAGUGGGACUAGAAAAGGAAACAGUGACCCAAAAAGCCGGGGAACUGUAGACCGGUGAGCCUGAUGUCAGUGGUGGGUAAGUUGUUGGAGGGGAUUCUGAGGGAUAGCAUUUACAUACAUUUGGGAAGGUAAGGGCUGAUCGGGGUAGGAAACGUGGCUUUCUGCAUGGGAAAUCAUGUCUCAUUAAUUUGAUUGAGUUUUAUGAAGAGGUGACAAAGAAGAUUGAUGAUGGCAGUUUGGUAGACAUUGUCAAUAUGGACCUCAGCAAGGUGUUCACAACAUUCUGAUUGGUAGGCAGAUUAGUAAGGUUCGGUCACAUGGGAUAGAGAGGAAGCUCGUCACAAUUGGCUUGAAGGAAGAGGGAUAUUUUUCAGACUGGAGGCUUGUGAGCAGCAGUGUGCUGUAAGAAUCAGUAUUGAGUUCACAAAACAUUUCAUCAUUUAUGUAAAGGAUUUAGAUGUGGAUAUUGGGACCAUAGUUAGUAAGUUUACAGACAACAUCAGAAAGGUGGUGUAGUAGAUUAUCUCAGAGUACAACGAGACCACAAAUAGAUGGGACAAAGGGGCAAGGAGUGACAGAUGAAGUUUAAUUUAGAUAAAUACGAAGUUAAGCAUUUUGGGAAGGUAGAUCAGGGCAGGAAUUACAUACUUAAUGGUAAGGGCCUGGUGAGUGUUGUGAAACAAAUGGACAUAGAGCUGCAGGUACAUUGUUCCUUGAAAGUGGAGUCGAAUGCAGACAGUGUGGUACAGAACAAAUUUUACAAAUUUGCCUUAAUCAGUCAGAGCAUUGAGUAUAGGAGUUGUGGUGGCAAGUUGCAUCUGUACAGGAUGUUGGUGAGGCCACUUUAAGAAUACUGCAUCCAACUCGGUUUUCUGCAGAAAAGAUUUACACGGAUGUCCCAGGACUGGAGGUUUGAGCUUUAGGGAGAGGUUGAUUAGUUUGAGGUGUUUCCCCUGGAGUGUCAGAGGCUGAAGGGUGACAUUAUAGAGGUUUAUAAAAUCAUCAGGGGCAUGGAUAUUCUGAACAGCCAUGUUCUGCUCCCCAGGGUAGGGGAGUCCUGAACAAGAGAGCAUAGGUUGGAGGGGAGAGGACGAAUGAUUUAGAAGGGACGUGAAGAUAAAUGUUUCACACAGAGUGGUGUGUGUACAUAAAGUGCUGUCAGAGGAAGUGGUGAAGGCGGUUACAAUCACACAUUUAAAAAAGUAUCUGAAAGAGGAGGGAUAUUGGCCAAAUGCUGGGAAAUGGGACUGGAUCAGAUUUGAAAUCUGAUCGGAGUGAACAGAUUGGACUAACGGGUCUGUUUCCGUUCUGCAAGAUUCUCUGAUUCUAUAAGAGGGAUGACGAAAAAUUCUGGAAGUACCUUUCAAAUCCGAAUCCUCUUCACUGGAAGUUUAUCUUGCCGCUAUGUUCAUAUUGAUUGAAAGCUGCGUUCGUGAAAUAUUUGACAGAGAACUGAGUCAUGGGUAAUGGGGCGCGGACAGGAAAGUGGGGCUGAGACCACAACCUGAUCAGCCAUAAUCUUAGUGCCUGGUGGAGAAGGUUCAACGUAUCUAAUGACUCACUCCUGUCCCUCAAUCCCGUGUUCCUGUGUUCCAUUCAGACCAUUAAACCUGUUAGGCAGGAGCAUUUAGGGGCUACUUACUUCUAUAACCUGGUGCACAGAAACAGAGGAGAUCAUUCGGCCCUUCAAUAUUGUCCCACAUGCUUUGAGUGAUUUGAGAAAUGUAAUUGUAAAACCCAGGCUGGGUAUGAAAGAGGCCCCUCAUCUCUCUUUAUAGAGAUUCCCCUCUCUGAAACUUGUGCUCCGUUCGUUGGUCAUGUUGUAGACCCAAAUUCACUAUGAAUACAGCCCCCAUACCUCACCCAGCGAUGGCUCACAAAAUCCUCUUGUCUCUCUGACGGCAACAUUCAAUAACAGAACAUUCAUGAAAAUAACACCCACUAACUUUCCAAUAACAGAAUGUGUGAACAUCAGACACAGGGGCAGGUCGUUCACUCCCCAAGCCUUCCUUCUCCUCCACUAAGAUCAUGGCUGAUCUGCUCUUGGUCUCAAAUCCUCUUUCGCAUCCAAUUCUUCAUUGCCCUCAACUCUCUGACAGGACACAUGGGUUCAGAUAAAAAUAACUGACCCUGAUAUCAAGGCUUCUGUUGACUUCUGUUGACAUCAAGGAUCUUAACAAAUCUGAACUUAAUGGGAAUCGGAGAAAACUCUACAGUAUUUGGAGUCAAACAUGGCACAAAGGAAGAUGUUCAUCAGCUCAGUCCUGGGUCACCUCUGUGGGAGAUCCUCAGGGUAGCUUCCUCUUCACAAACACCUUCAGCUGCUUCAUCAAUGUCUCCCCACCCUCACCCUCCUCACCAUAAGAUCCGAAGUGGGGAUGGUCAAUGCGGAUUCCACAAUGUUCAGAAUAAUUUGACGCCCCCGUCAGCUCCUGAACUGGAUUGUGUCCAUGUGAAGCAAGACAUGGACACCAUUGAGGCUUGUGCUUUUAAAGAGUCCAUAACAGUCAUAUAAAGGACUGUCUGACAAUGCAUAUUGCCACAGUAAAAUAAGAGUUCAUUCCGCACCUCACACUGGUUUCACAGGAAUAUGAGGAAGUCGUUCAGCCCAUUGACACUAUUGGAGAAGCGCAGGGACAGCCCAUUCAGUGCCUCCAAAAUAUUACUCAGGAAGAGAAGGAUUCUAGUGUGAUGGGCCACACCAGAGCCCCUCGACAAUAUUUGAAGGCGGUAGCUGAGACUCUAAUGUUUCCUAAUUUCAAAGAAAAUGUAAAUUGUCUAUUCCAGAUGCAAUGUGAGUGGUCAAACUACUUGGUGUGAAGCAAAACACCAUUUACUUAAACAUGAUAGAUGAAAUAAAACCAAAGAAAGAAGAAUUUAGAGUAACGUAUUUAUAUUAGACAAGUUAACAGAAUAAUAGAUCUAGGAACUAAUACUAAUGACCGUUCUAAUACUGGAAAUCAUAUGAACACAGCCCUUGGCAAAAAGGGAUAUUCAGACACUGAUUGACACAAAUAUUUCUCCAAUUCAGGAUUUCAAAACAGCACCAAGAGAAAAUCCAUACAGAGUAGCUGCCAGGAGACAUUCACUAAAGUUUUCAACUCAGUGGAGACCCCAAUAAUUUCUGAUGUUACUGAGAAACCAAAACCCAGAAAUCCUAAUUUGUUAGAGCUGACCACACCCAUUCCAUCUGCAGUAAAAUAAACCUAAGGCCUCACUAGUUAUUUACUCAAGUGGUCUUAACUAGCCAGCUGGGUAACAGUCAUUCAAUCUUUCUCUUAAAAGAAACCAGAACAAAAUAACCUCUUAAAGCUACAGCAUCAUCACACUAGUCAGCACAUCGAGCUGUCAUACAGGAACUAGCGGUAACCAGUCAGGCCCUUGGCCCUGUCCAAUCGGACGAGGAAGAAGCCAGUCAGUCCCUUGAGUCACUUAUUCAGGAACAGUAGGAGGCCAUUCCCACCUCAAUGCACUUACACAGGGGCAGAAUGAGGUAAUUGAUGCUGAUUCCUGAUGAAUGGCUUAUGCUCGAAACAUCGAUUCUCCUGCUGUGCUUUUCCAGCAAACCACUGUCUACUCUGAUCUUCAGCAUCAACAAUCCUCGCUAUCUCCUAAUUGAUGCUCUAACAUGGUGAACAAGUGGAGCAGAGGCUGCACAGACAGACUGCUCCACGUUGUUCUUCUUAGCUCCGUCUGUCAUGAUACACACGUGGGACUUUAACGCGGUUUUCUAGUGGUGAGGAGGGAAGCCAGAUGUCUUGUGUGAAGUCACAAGAAGGCACCUUCCAUCUCCGAGAAGCCAGCCUGGUGUUCUCUAUGUAGGGUGGAAGCUGGUGGGAAUGGCUACCUGUUUCAGAUGGAAGGUAUUGUGGCUGCUGUUGGGGAUUGUGAGUAACCUGACGUUCAGUACGGGUUCACACGCCAACUGCAAAAUAAUGUGGGGAGAGUUAAUUUAGGCAAAUAAACUAUUAGGAAAGUCACGUUAGACUGAUGGAUGGACUCUCUAAGUUCAAAUAAUGCUGAUCUUGUUCAUGUCGAUCUUGUCUCGUGCACGUCCUGUUCAGUGUAACCUGUAUGCCUUACUCUGUCCAAGUCUAUUUCCACCGCAUGAUCUGUCUGGCCAUGUUUACUAUGAUCUGCCUCCACUGCUCAUAAAUAAAGUGUUUCCCUGUACUGAGGUACACGUGGCAAUAAAUCACACCAAUUAAUCCUGGGUAAAGUAUGGAAUUUCUCACCCUAUCAAUGUCUCUUUUGGAAAUAAGUGAUCGCUGCCACUACUCAAGUUUAACGUCACCAUUUCAUCUUCUCUCACAACUCUACUGAUUAAACACUCAGCUUCUUCACUCUAUCCUCGUGAUACCAUCAUCCGUGUCUGUGGUAAGGAGAUCAUUCCUUACAAAGGAGAUCAAAUCCGUAGAGAGUGUCUCAACCACGCUCUCAGCAAGGCCCUACAACAGCAGGAAGAUGGCAUUACUUAUGUACUUGAAUCAUCUUACAAUGAAGGACAGCAUACCAUUGACUGCACCCAUUACUUACACAGGGUUUGAUUCGGAGCAGUCAGCAUAGACUUGUGAGUGGGAGAUCAUGCUUCCCAAAUUAUUAGAGUUCGUUGAUGAAGUGACCAGGAAGGUUGAUGAGGGCCGAGCAGUAACCAUAGUCUCUAUGGAUAUCAGUAAGGCCUUUGAUAAGGUUCCACAUGGCAGGCUGCUCGGGAGUAUUACAUCACGUGGAAUGCUGGGGAACUGGCCAAUUGGAUACACAGUUGGCUUGACGGUAGGAAGCAGAGGGUUUAGUGGAAGGAUGCUUGUCAGACUGGAGGCUGGGUCCAUGGCUGUGUGUUAUCUAUGAUUUGGUUGAGAAUGUACAAGGUAUGAUUAGUAAGUUUACAGAUGGCACUAAAAUAAAUGGGAGCAUGAUCAGUGAGGAAGUUUAUCAGAAAUUGCAGCAGGACCUUAAUCAGGCGGGGAAGUGGGCCGAGAAAUGGCAAAUGGAAUUUAAUAUAGAUGCGUGAUGACUUGCAUUUUGGAAACUCAACUCAAGGUAGGAGUUGCACGGUGAAUGGGAGGGCCUUAAGGGGUGUAGUGGGCAGAGAGAUCUUGGUAUGUAGGUGCACGGUUCUCUGAGAGUGGAGUCACAUGUAGACAGGGCAGUGAAGAAGGCAUCUGGCACACUGACCUUCAUCAGGCCGGACAUUGAGUAUGGAAGUUGGGAAUUUAUGUUGCAGUUAUACAGGACUUUGGUAAGGCCACACUUGGAGUAUUGUGUUCAGGUUUUGUCACUUAGGGAGCACGUGUCUAUCUCCUCAGGAACUCAUUACGGUACCUUGCUGUGGCAACCAACAGGGUACACUUCGUUGUUCAGUACUUCCCAGGAGCUGAAAAAUUAUGCCAUGUUCUUCGUGACCUGCAACACAUUAUCAACGAGGAUGAGCACCUCCACUGCUUGCCUUUAAACAACCACCAAACCUCAAACAGAUCACAUGUUCAUAGCAAGCUGCCCAGCUUUCAGGACAGCGCCAUACAACCCUGUCACGGUAGGCGCUGCAAGACGUGUCAGAGUGUGGACAUGGGUAUUACCAUUACAUGUGAGGACACUUCCCACCAUGUACGUGGCAGGUACUCAUGUGACUCAGCCAACAUUGUCUAUCUUAUACGUUGCAGGCAAGGGUGCCUGGAGGCAUGGUACAUUGUGGAAACCGAGCAAAUGCUACGGCAACAGAUGAAUGGGCACCACAUAACAAUCAACAGACGGAAGUGUUGCCUCCCAGUUGGGGACACUUCUACGGUACAGGACAUUCGACCUCGGACCUUCGGGUGACAAUCCUCCAAGGCAGACUUCAGGACAGGCAACAGCGAAAAGUGGCCAAACAGGGGCUGAUAGCUAAGUUCUGUACCCAAAGGGAGGGCCUCAACCGGGCCCUUCAGUUCAUGUCAUACUACCGGUGACCACCAUUGCACUAUAUACACACACAGCCACACUUACACACACACACACCCAGAGUCACUCCUAUACACACACAUACACACGGACACACUUUUACACAGACACGCACACAGACUCUCACGCACACCCUUACAGACACACACACUCCCACACUCACACAUGCAUCCUCUCAGAGACUUAGACCACUCUACACUCAUGCAGGCACAUAUACCCUCUCUCUCACAGACAAUCGCAAACCCCCACCCCAGACACAUACACACUUCCACACUCACACAUGCACACCCUCACAGAAUUAAGACACUCUGCAAUCACUACACACACAUAUACACUCUCUCUCUCACACUCACAACCCCCAAGCCAGACAGACAUACACACAAACAGACACAAAGACCCACAUGCGCCCAUACAUUUUGUGGGCUAAAUUUUACUUGCAGAGUUACAUUGUACUUUGCUCAAAAACUGCAUGAAUACAGUAAAACUAUGUUAUCUGACUUUUUAGGUUAGAAUCGAUCUAAAAUCAUGGCAUAGACAGAGAACACAGGGUGCUAACACCUUCGACAUAUUGUGUAACUAACCUAAUUGUUACAGUUAACCUGAGAAUGCAACUUUUAACAAAAGGUUUUUUUGAUUUACACACGGAAGAAGCUAAACUAUCAUGGUAUUCGAACAGAUGAAAGACUCAACAGAAAAUCAAGGUGAUUUUCAAUAUGUAGUUUCAGUUACAUCAUACUGUAAUGUUUUGCUAUAAAUGCUGUGCCUUACAAUUUUGUCCCCCACAAUCACCUGAAGAAGGUGCGGUUCUCUGAAAGCUAAUGUGCUUCCAAUUAAACCUGUUGGGCUAUAA
Long non-coding RNA from Hemiscyllium ocellatum (epaulette shark), 9030 nucleotides. RefSeq lists it as uncharacterized. The record is from RefSeq and is a predicted model, not a curated record. NCBI's taxonomy places the organism in Eukaryota, Metazoa, Chordata, Chondrichthyes, Orectolobiformes, Hemiscylliidae. The transcript has 2 exons.